This 536-nucleotide ribosomal RNA is filed under the name Staphylococcus aureus. Its description in RNAcentral is "bacterial SSU rRNA". It matches the Rfam family "Bacterial small subunit ribosomal RNA", at positions 8 to 526 of the family's 1533-position model. Lineage: Bacteria; Bacillati; Bacillota; Bacilli; Caryophanales; Staphylococcaceae. The record is from RNAcentral.
AGAGUUUGAUCCUGGCUCAGGAUGAACGCUGGCGGCGUGCCUAAUACAUGCAAGUCGAGCGAACGGACGAGAAGCUUGCUUCUCUGAUGUUAGCGGCGGACGGGUGAGUAACACGUGGAUAACCUACCUAUAAGACUGGGAUAACUUCGGGAAACCGGAGCUAAUACCGGAUAAUAUUUUGAACCGCAUGGUUCAAAAGUGAAAGACGGUCUUGCUGUCACUUAUAGAUGGAUCCGCGCUGCAUUAGCUAGUUGGUAAGGUAACGGCUUACCAAGGCAACGAUGCAUAGCCGACCUGAGAGGGUGAUCGGCCACACUGGAACUGAGACACGGUCCAGACUCCUACGGGAGGCAGCAGUAGGGAAUCUUCCGCAAUGGGCGAAAGCCUGACGGAGCAACGCCGCGUGAGUGAUGAAGGUCUUCGGAUCGUAAAACUCUGUUAUUAGGGAAGAACAUAUGUGUAAGUAACUGUGCACAUCUUGACGGUACCUAAUCAGAAAGCCACGGCUAACUACGUGCCAGCAGCCGCGGUAAUAC